This 301-nucleotide ribosomal RNA is filed under the name uncultured bacterium. RNAcentral's name for it is "partial 16S ribosomal RNA". It matches the Rfam family "Bacterial small subunit ribosomal RNA", at positions 509 to 807 of the family's 1533-position model. The record is from RNAcentral.
CAGCCGCCGCGGUAAUACGAAGGGGGCUAGCGUUGUUUGGAUUUACUGGGCGUAAAGCGCACGUAGGCGGAUCGAUCAGUCAGGGGUGAAAUCCUGGAGCUCAACUCCAGAACUGCCUUUGAUACUGUCGAUCUCGAGUCCGGAAGAGGUGAGUGGAACUCCUAGUGUAGAGGUGGAAUUCGUAGAUAUUAGGAAGAACACCAGUGGCGAAGGCGGCUUACUGGCUCAUUCUAGACGCUGAGGUGCGAAAGCGUGGGGAGCAAACAGGAUUAGAUACCCCAGUAGUCCCUGUCUCUUAUAC